AGUUGAAUCGGUUGAAUCGCGAGCAUCGUCUACAUGAUCAGCCGAGACAGCAAAGUUGGUUCUUUAUUCUAUGGCAAAGCGUGGCCGGAAGCGCCAGUUCACUGCCGACGAAAUACGAGACCGUCGCAACACAGAGAAAAGUGCCAAGCGAGCUGCUGCAGCGAAACAACGUCCACCACCCAAGUCCCCGACAACGCGGAAGGCAGAGCUAGCGGCUGCGGAGCGAGCACGACGAGCUGCAGCGGCUGUAGUGACACACUGAGCAACAAGUAAUGCUCUCGCAUUUACACACCAUAAGAAUUGCUUAGGUGCCCUCAUAAGUUUUUUUUAAACGUCCGAAUUGUCGCCGUUGUCCGAACGAAAUCUUCAAGAAGUUGAUAUUGUUUUUGGCCGCGGGACACAAAGUUUCGGCACAGAGGUAAACCGUAUGGGACAGAACACAUGCAGGCACCAUUACUCUGGAGACGUGUGCAAAAAUGCCCACCAAAUUUGUUCCCCUGUCUCGCGGCGCUGAGUUGAAACCUUUAAAAUGGUGCAGUGGAGUGAGCGAUUAUUUUAGAGCGCAGCUCCGAAGCCCUGCUUAGAAGUCCGUUCCUGCGUUGAGCGUCGGCGUUCCUGGGCGUCCCUCGGAGUAACCGAGCGAACGAGCACAGCGAAGGAUGAAAGAGCGAACGUGAAGUGCAGCGGGGGGAUGUAAUAAGGCGAUAGUGAAGAGAGCGUGAGGAGGAGGGUGCAGUGGAACCACGAGGUGGAGGGGGAAGGGUAUGGUGAAAGCGUGAAAAAAAAAAGUGUAGUGCUCUGCGGCAACGACCCCUACAAGAUGGUGCCAGAGUACCGCGCCAUCGUCAGUACGUCACGGAUAAGGCGUGCGGCGAGUGCGUCCACCGAUACCAUAUAUGGAAACAAAGCGCUGCAUGAGCAGAGGUCUGUCUGCGGCGGCUGCUGUGAAUCGCACUCAUGCGCUACCUCUCACAAUUGGCGAGGAAGUCACGCCACACUUCGCUCCGUUUGCUAUGUGCUGCACGAGACAGAUUGUCCGCUCCAGCCAUGUCACUCACAGCGUUAACUUCCCUUUGUAAUAUAAACCUUGUAUAUAUAUAUAAUCAUUACACAAUGUAUAAUCACAAUACAGAAUAGUGUCAGCCAGUUCUUUCUGCCGAUGAGCUUCUGCCGAUGAGCAACGCAACCGGUGGAAGUGCUUUGUCUGCCGCAGCUGCUAAACGAGCUGCCCGAGCAGAGGCUCAGCGCCGCCGCCGCCGUCAGAAUCCAGAGUUGCGGGCCGCCGAAGCAGAAGCUAAGCGCCGUCGCCGAAAUGACCCGCAAGUGCGCGCUGCCGAAGCAGAAGCUAGGCGCCGCCGCUGCUGAAAGGGACCCUGCUAUUCGCGCCACCAGGGCAGCAGCUCAGCGCCGCCGCCGUCAGAAUCCAGAGGUGCGUGCCGCCGAAGCAGAAGCUAAGCGCCGUCGCCGAAAUGACCCGGAAGUGCGCGCCGCCGAAGCAGAAGCUUAUCGUCGCCGCUGCCAAGAGGACCCUGCAGUUCGUGCCGCCAAAGCAGAGGCUCAGCGCCGCCGACGUCAGAAUCCAGAGGUGCGCGCCACUGAGGCAGAAGCUAAGCACCGUCGCCGAGAUCUGGGCGUUCGCGCUGCCGAAGCAGAAGCUUAUCGUCGCCGCUGCCAAAAGGACCCUGCAGUUCGCUCCGCCAAAGCAGAGGCUCAGCGUCGCCGACGUCAGAAUCCGGAGGUGUGUGCCGCUGAGGCAGAAGCUAAGCGCCGUCGUCGAGAAGACCCUGCUGUUCACACUGCCAAGGCCGAAGCUAUAUGCAAAGCAAGGCUUGCAAAGAGUGAGGCUGCAACAAACAUUAGCGACAAUCCAUUUGGGAGUGUGUGUUCAGUGUGGGACCGGCUCCAGAAUGACCUGAAACCGUUACCGGAUAGGUGCCACGAGACACUUCAGCGGGAAUUUCCCAACUUGGACCUGUGCCAAUUCAGGCUAUGUUCGACGUGCAUGCGACCUGUGGGGAAGGGUGACAUUCCUUCAUAUUCCCACAACCAACGGUUCCAAAUAUCCCCCGAAGCCCUGGCACCUCCCACAUCUCAAUGCGAAGCCAGUCCAGAAGGAUCGGGGCGACAAAACUGUAGCGAACAGCGACAGUCCGCAGGGCAAUGGGUUGGCGCCGUGGACCGCUCAUGUCAAAGGACGAAGGCAACACAGUGCAAGUCCUGUGUUGAUCAAGUGUGUACAUUUGGCACUCAGACAGAGACUGGACAUGUAAUGGCGGAAACAAGCACCCAAACUGCCAUGGCCUUCACGCGUACCAUCCUGUGCAGACAACAAGACCAACGCAUCUACAGCGGAGGAAGCUGCUAGGUGUUCACCAGGAAGCUACAGUCUCUACCAAACCCAAGGUAACACAGUGCAAGUCCUGUGUUGAUCAAGUGUGUACAUUGGGCAGUCAGACAGAGACUGGACAUGUGAUGGCGGAAACGAGCACCCAAACUGCCAUGGCCUUCCCACGUACCAUUCCUGUGCAGACAAGUCCAACGGAAUUAAGAAGCCAAGGUACAAACACAGGAAUGAUGAGCUGAAAGAGGAAUAAUCAUCCACUCGAUGCUGAAGAGACAUUUCGAAGAGGCUCGACCGGAGGGAAGCAAGCCCCCAUCAAGCUAGCACCUGUUAUGGUCACCUGGCAUCGACUACGUGGAAGCAGCUGUUUGCGGGUGAUGCCAAAUGCUGCCACCAUGAAGAUAGCGCACGAAGAGUGCAUGUGAUAAAGCUUUCAAUGGCAUAUUAUUGUCAACAGUGUUCGAGGAGUACUGUAAUGGCAUUUUCGACUUGUCGCGUUCUUGUUUUUUUAAGUGAAAGUGCAAACCUUCUAAAUGCUUGAAAAAUAUUACCUUCAAGUGUGAUAGCGUCAUAAAGAACUUAUUUAGUGAGGUGCUUUUCUAGUACCAGGAGGUGGACCCACCAUGACAUCAUGACGCACUAGGUCGCUCCGGUCCUGUGGGCACUGCAGCUACAGUCACAGAUGUGCAGCAUUGUGAACCCUGUAUAUUGUCUAAUUUAUCAUAUUUGCUACGCUGCUUGAUACCUCAAAAUUCUGAUUGUCGCACGCAAAACUAUACGCAUAGCCUGCAGCAGCGCUUUUGAUAAAUCGGAAGUUUUAGUUGCAGAUACUUCAGCAAACCAAGUACUAUUAUAAUUAAUUAAUCACUGUAAUAUUGAAAUCACCUCAAAUAACAUUUCAUUGUAUUUUUUGUACAAGUUUGCUCCCCAUGGCCGGAAAUAAAGGUUAUCAAGUUGUAAUUUUUUUGAUGUGGAACUGUGUUUGAGCAUUACAGGGUUAAUUUUUUUAAAAGCAAACUACAUACAUGCAGCAAAUUUUGCUCCAUGUCCUGACUGGGGCUGGGCAUUGAUCGAAAAUUUGUUUCCAAAUAAUUGGAACCCAUUGAUAAAAUUUUCCUACUUAAGCAUACGCUGUCAAAAAUUAAAUCUGGUGCUCCACAUGAAGAAAAGUCGAAGAAGUGAAGCCGUACUAUUAAUUUAUUGAUUGUUGCCUUUAAUAUCACGUCAGCAACACUGGGUGAGUGGCCACUAUCAUGAGCUCAGGUGCAGUCAUAAGUCUAGCUGCAAGUAAGGGUGUAAGAGGAAAAGGAACUUAACAUUCUCUGGCACCCCAUCACAGCGGCCCUGCUUUAGCGUAGGUAGGUUGUUUGGGGUCAGAACUCGAAAGGAUGCAAAUGGCGUGCUUCCGGCUACUCACAUGUCGGGGGAAAAAAGUUAUUUUCUUGAAAACCACAAAUUUAUUAGUGUGUUGCUGACCUUUUGUUCAGCGCCAAUGCACUAGCAGUUGCAGCACUGACUGGAGAAGAAAUCCAGAGGUGUUUUAUUUGUUAGAACAUUGUAGCACGGUUAUGUAAUUCUUUUCCUUGCUGUUGUGCAAGUGAAGUGUGGACCUCAGGGACAUCAUUCACUUGAUUUUGCUCAAGCAAAUAAUCGCAAUAAAAAAAAAUCAUUGCGUGAAGCAGUAAUCAAAUAACCAGAAGCUUAAUUAAUCAAUCACCCAGCCCGAGUCGUGGCAUCACAAUAAUGUGAAUGGCAUUAGGUUCCACAUUUCGAGGCCAACUUUAGUAUCAAAUUGAAAUACCGUAUUUUCGAGCACGUAAUCUGCACCAAAAUUUUUAAAAUUUACUGUUAAAGUCGGAGUGCAUGCUAUAUGCAAACUUCCUAUUGAGGUAUAGCUUCACUGCAGCGAGGUUUCUGCCUUGAGGUGUCGCUUCACGGCGGCGUAGCGUGUGCCACCGUGAAGCCACACUUCAAGGCAAAAGUGAAAGUUCGCGGCUAGUCAGUUUCAUUUUAUCCUACAGAAGCCCACUGUUUCCCCGCCGCUGCAUGUUGACCUUCAUACUUCUUCAUACUUCUUUCUUCAUACCUUCAUGAAGGUAUGAAGUACUUCUUCAUACUUCAUACCUUCAUACUUAUUUCAUGAUCGGCCGUUGUCCUCUUUUCAUGUCACCAUUUAGCCUUUUGGCUGUGAUGAAGUUAGCUAAUAGCGCAGAUGACGCUGGCGACCCAGAAUUCUUAUUACGAUGAGCUGUGCUUGACGGCAGUACAUACAGUGCUGCAUAAGCAGAGUAUAAUCAGCGUCUCCGAUAAUGUGGGGAACAGAGCUGCCGGCCAUUGGUACGAUGCGGACUAAUCAUGCAUUUGUGAAUAAAAUUGUUUUUACAAGUA
RNA transcript from Dermacentor silvarum, 4729 nucleotides. RefSeq lists it as uncharacterized. The transcript is spliced from 6 exons. The record is from RefSeq and is a predicted model, not a curated record. NCBI's taxonomy places the organism in Eukaryota, Metazoa, Arthropoda, Arachnida, Ixodida, Ixodidae.